Balaenoptera acutorostrata (minke whale) is the source of this 73-nucleotide non-coding RNA. The record is from the annotation of a RefSeq genome assembly. Lineage: Eukaryota; Metazoa; Chordata; Mammalia; Artiodactyla; Balaenopteridae.
UCCCUGGUGGUCCAGUGGUUAGGACUCCCCGCUUAAACUGCUGAGGGCCCAGGUUCAAUCCCUGGUCGGGGAA